RNAcentral lists this long non-coding RNA (237 nucleotides) under Brassica napus (rape). RNAcentral's name for it is "long non-coding RNA (BNAP_LNC004520)". The record is from RNAcentral. Lineage: Eukaryota; Viridiplantae; Streptophyta; Magnoliopsida; Brassicales; Brassicaceae.
GUGUCUAAAGUAUAUUAUAAGUGACUUACUCUGUAUUGUUUGAAAUCAUAACACAUGAUUCAACUAUUUAAAAGAAACAAAAGUUAAACUUCUUCUUUUAAGUUAUUAUAUAUUGUUGAUUAUGAAUCUUAUUUAUCAUCAACGUUAGACCAGGAGUUUUUUAUGUAACAGCCUAGCUAAAUAAUCAGAACAGAAUAAGCUCAAAUUAGUUUGAUAAUUUCAUGUUAUAGUUUGUUU